This 379-nucleotide ribosomal RNA is filed under the name uncultured Butyrivibrio sp. Its description in RNAcentral is "bacterial SSU rRNA". It matches the Rfam family "Bacterial small subunit ribosomal RNA", at positions 67 to 434 of the family's 1533-position model. The record is from RNAcentral. Lineage: Bacteria; Bacillati; Bacillota; Clostridia; Lachnospirales; Lachnospiraceae.
UUCCUUCGCGGAUUGAUUAUUUUCGUGACUUGAGUCGNCGGACGGGUNAGUAACGCGUGGGUAACCUACCUUAUACAGGGGGAUAACAGUUGGAAACGACUGCUAAUACCGCAUAAGCGCACAGCAUCGCAUGAUGCAGUGUGAAAAGCUCCGACGGUAUAAGAUGGACCCGCGUCUGAUUAGCUAGUUGGUGAGGUAACGGCCCACCAAUGUCGGGAUCAGUAGCCCGACCUGACAGGGUGACCGGCCACAUUGGGACUGAGACACGGCCCAAACUCCUACGGCGAGUGCACCCAGUGGGGAAUAUUGCACAAUGGGCCGAAAGCCUGAUGCAGUGACGCCCGCGUGAGCGAAUAAGUAUUUCGGUAUGUAAAGCUCU